This 72-nucleotide transfer RNA is filed under the name Bacteroidia bacterium. RNAcentral's name for it is "tRNA-Gln". It matches the Rfam family "tRNA". From Rfam's summary of the family: Transfer RNA (tRNA) molecules are approximately 80 nucleotides in length. Their secondary structure includes four short double-helical elements and three loops (D, anti-codon, and T loops). The record is from RNAcentral. Lineage: Bacteria; Pseudomonadati; Bacteroidota; Bacteroidia.
UGUCCCAUGGUGUAAUGGUAGCACUGCAGUUUUUGGUACUGCCUGACUAGGUUCGAGUCCUGGUGGGACAAC